This 26-nucleotide non-coding RNA is filed under the name Homo sapiens (human). Lineage: Eukaryota; Metazoa; Chordata; Mammalia; Primates; Hominidae. The record is from RNAcentral.
UAGAAGAGGGUGUUGGAAACCAAGUC